RNAcentral lists this ribosomal RNA (505 nucleotides) under uncultured bacterium. RNAcentral describes it as "partial 16S ribosomal RNA". It matches the Rfam family "Bacterial small subunit ribosomal RNA", at positions 28 to 507 of the family's 1533-position model. The record is from RNAcentral.
GACGAACGCUGGCGGCGUGCCUAAUACAUGCAAGUAGAACGCACAGUUUAUACCGUAGCUUGCUACACCAUAGACUGUGAGUUGCGAACGGGUGAGUAACGCGUAGGUAACCUGCCUGGUAGCGGGGGAUAACUAUUGGAAACGAUAGCUAAUACCGCAUAAUAUUGAUUAUUGCAUGAUAAUUGAUUGAAAGAUGCUAUUGCAUCACUACCAGAUGGACCUGCGUUGUAUUAGCUAGUAGGUGAGGUAACGGCUCACCUAGGCGACGAUACAUAGCCGACCUGAGAGGGGGAUCGGCCACACUGGGACUGAGACACGGCCCAGACUCCUACGGGAGGCAGCAGUAGGGAAUCUUCGGCAAUGGACGAAAGUCUGACCGAGCAACGCCGCGGGAGUGAAGAAGGGUUUCGGAUCGUAAAGCUCUGUUGUAAGAGAAGAACGGGUGUGAGAGUGGAAAGUUCACACUGUGACGGUAGCUUACCAGAAAGGGACGGCUAACUACGUG